AAUUAAAAAAUUAUUUAAAUUUUUUUAAAAAAAAUUAAAUUAAUAAAAGUAUUUUUAUUAAAAUUUUAUUUUUAGUAUUUUAAAAGAAAAAAUUAUAUAAAUUAUAGUUUAUUAGUAUAUUGAUAGAAAUUUGAAAAUUUUGAAAAUUAAUUUUAUUAAAAAGUAUAUUUUAUUUAUAGUACCUUGUGCAUCAGGGUUAAUUAAAAAAAUUAUAUAUAUAUUAUAUUUCUCGAAUUUAAAAGAUCUAUUUAAAAAUUAUUUUUAAUGUUUAAUAAUUAUAAUCAAUUUUUAAAUAGAAAUGAAAUGUUUUUCGUUUUUAAAGUUAUCUAGUUUUUUAAUAAAUAAAUUUAAUUUAUAUAUUAUUAUAAUAAUUAUUUUAAUUAAUUAAAAUAAUUAUUUUUAAUAUAAAAGUUUUAAGGGAUUAGCUUUAAUUCUUAUGUUUAUAAUUAAUUUAUAUAUAUAUAUAUUUAAUUUAUGAAUUAGGCUUAGAAUUAGCUUUAAUUUAAAAAUUGUAAUAAAUUUAUAAUUAAUAAAUUAUAAAUUUUAAUAAAAUUUAAAUUUAUAUUAAAAUUAAUUAAUUAAUAAAUUAUUAAUUAAAAUAAUGAUUAAAUUAGUAAAUAAAUUAAUAUUUAAUUAAAUGUAUUAUGAUAGGUAAUUUUAAGGAAUUCAGCAAAUAUUUAACUCGCCUGUUUAACAAAAACAUGUCUUUUAGAAAUUUAAAUUAAAAGUCUAAUCUGCUCAGUGAAUAAUUUUAAAUAGCCGCAGUAUUUUAACUGUGCAAAGGUAGCAUAAUAAUUUGUCCUUUAAUUAAGGACUAGAAUGAAUGAUUUGACGAAGUUAAAACUUUCUCAAUUUUAUUAAUUAUUGAAUUUAAUUUUUAAGUUAAAAAGCUUAAAUAAUAUUAAAGGACGAGAAGACCCUAUAGAGUUUUAUAAUUUAUUUUAUUUUAAAUUAAAUUUUUAUUUAAUUUAGUAUAAAUUAUUUUAUUGGGGAGAUAUUUAAAUUUAAAUAACUUUAUAUUUUUUUUUACAUAAAUUAAUGAAUUUUUGAUCCUAAUUUUUAGAUUAUUAGAUUAAAUUACCUUAGGGAUAACAGCGUUAUUUUAUUAUAAGUUCUUAUUAACAAUAAAAAUUGCGACCUCGAUGUUGGAUUAAAAUUUAUUUUAGGUGUAGAAGCUUAAAAAUUAGGUCUGUUCGACCUUUAAAAUUUUACAUGAUCUGAGUUCAAACCGGUUUAAGCCAGGUUGGUUUCUAUCCUUAUUAAAAUAUAAAUCUUUAGUACGAAAGGACCAUGAUUUAGAAUUAAAUAUAAUUUUAAAAUAUGAAUUUUAAUAAUU
Molecule: ribosomal RNA, 1336 nt
Filed under: Diprion sp.
Lineage: Eukaryota; Metazoa; Arthropoda; Insecta; Hymenoptera; Diprionidae
Also listed under: 1 other name
Description: 16S ribosomal RNA
Source: RNAcentral